This 2783-nucleotide ribosomal RNA is filed under the name Enterobacter hormaechei subsp. oharae. RNAcentral describes it as "bacterial LSU rRNA". It matches the Rfam family "Bacterial large subunit ribosomal RNA". Lineage: Bacteria; Pseudomonadati; Pseudomonadota; Gammaproteobacteria; Enterobacterales; Enterobacteriaceae. The record is from RNAcentral.
CGACACACUAUCGUUAACUGAAUACAUAGGUUAACGAGGCGAACCGGGGGAACUGAAACAUCUAAGUACCCCGAGGAAAAGAAAUCAACCGAGAUUCCCCCAGUAGCGGCGAGCGAACGGGGAGCAGCCCGGAGUCUGAAUCAGCUUGUGUGUUAGUGGAACGGUCUGGAAAGUCCGACGGUACAGGGUGAUAGUCCCGUACACGAAAAUGCACUUGCUGUGAACUCGAAGAGUAGGGCGGGACACGUGGUAUCCUGUCUGAAUAUGGGGGGACCAUCCUCCAAGGCUAAAUACUCCUGACUGACCGAUAGUGAACCAGUACCGUGAGGGAAAGGCGAAAAGAACCCCGGCGAGGGGAGUGAAAAAGAACCUGAAACCGUGUACGUACAAGCAGUGGGAGCACCUUCGGGUGUGACUGCGUACCUUUUGUAUAAUGGGUCAGCGACUUAUAUUCUGUAGCAAGGUUAACCGUAUAGGGGAGCCGAAGGGAAACCGAGUCUUAACUGGGCGUUAAGUUGCAGGGUAUAGACCCGAAACCCGGUGAUCUAGCCAUGGGCAGGUUGAAGGUUGGGUAACACUAACUGGAGGACCGAACCGACUAAUGUUGAAAAAUUAGCGGAUGACCUGUGGCUGGGGGUGAAAGGCCAAUCAAACCGGGAGAUAGCUGGUUCUCCCCGAAAGCUAUUUAGGUAGCGCCUCGUGAACUCAUCUUCGGGGGUAGAGCACUGUUUCGGCUAGGGGGCCAUCCCGGCUUACCAACCCGAUGCAAACUACGAAUACCGAAGAAUGUUAUCACGGGAGACACACGGCGGGUGCUAACGUCCGUCGUGAAGAGGGAAACAACCCAGACCGCCAGCUAAGGUCCCAAAGUCAUGGUUAAGUGGGAAACGAUGUGGGAAGGCACAGACAGCCAGGAUGUUGGCUUAGAAGCAGCCAUCAUUUAAAGAAAGCGUAAUAGCUCACUGGUCGAGUCGGCCUGCGCGGAAGAUGUAACGGGGCUAAACCAUGCACCGAAGCUGCGGCAGCGACACUAUGUGUUGUUGGGUAGGGGAGCGUUCUGUAAGCCGUUGAAGGUGUGCUGUGAGGCAUGCUGGAGGUAUCAGAAGUGCGAAUGCUGACAUAAGUAACGAUAAAGCGGGUGAAAAGCCCGCUCGCCGGAAGACCAAGGGUUCCUGUCCAACGUUAAUCGGGGCAGGGUGAGUCGACCCCUAAGGCGAGGCCGAAAGGCGUAGUCGAUGGGAAACAGGUUAAUAUUCCUGUACUUGGUGUUACUGCGAAGGGGGGACGGAGAAGGCUAUGUCAGCCGGGCGACGGUUGUCCCGGUUUAAGCAUGUAGGCGGAGGUUCCAGGUAAAUCCGGUACCUUUUAACGCUGAGGUGUGAUGACGAGGCACUACGGUGCUGAAGUGAUAAAUGCCCUGCUUCCAGGAAAAGCCUCUAAGCAUCAGGUAACACGAAAUCGUACCCCAAACCGACACAGGUGGUCAGGUAGAGAAUACCAAGGCGCUUGAGAGAACUCGGGUGAAGGAACUAGGCAAAAUGGUGCCGUAACUUCGGGAGAAGGCACGCUGAUAUGUAGGUGAAGUCCCUGCGGACGGAGCUGAAAUCAGUCGAAGAUACCAGCUGGCUGCAACUGUUUAUUAAAAACACAGCACUGUGCAAACACGAAAGUGGACGUAUACGGUGUGACGCCUGCCCGGUGCCGGAAGGUUAAUUGAUGGGGUUAGCGGCAACGCGAAGCUCUUGAUCGAAGCCCCGGUAAACGGCGGCCGUAACUAUAACGGUCCUAAGGUAGCGAAAUUCCUUGUCGGGUAAGUUCCGACCUGCACGAAUGGCGUAAUGAUGGCCAGGCUGUCUCCACCCGAGACUCAGUGAAAUUGAACUCGCUGUGAAGAUGCAGUGUACCCGCGGCAAGACGGAAAGACCCCGUGAACCUUUACUAUAGCUUGACACUGAACACUGGUCCUUGAUGUGUAGGAUAGGUGGGAGGCUUUGAAGCGUGGACGCCAGUCUGCGUGGAGCCAUCCUUGAAAUACCACCCUUUAAUGGCUGGUGUUCUAACGUAGACCCGUAAUCCGGGUUGCGGACAGUGUCUGGUGGGUAGUUUGACUGGGGCGGUCUCCUCCCAAAGAGUAACGGAGGAGCACGAAGGUUGGCUAAUCCUGGUCGGACAUCAGGAGGUUAGUGCAAUGGCAUAAGCCAGCUUGACUGCGAGCGUGACGGCGCGAGCAGGUGCGAAAGCAGGUCAUAGUGAUCCGGUGGUUCUGAAUGGAAGGGCCAUCGCUCAACGGAUAAAAGGUACUCCGGGGAUAACAGGCUGAUACCGCCCAAGAGUUCAUAUCGACGGCGGUGUUUGGCACCUCGAUGUCGGCUCAUCACAUCCUGGGGCUGAAGUAGGUCCCAAGGGUAUGGCUGUUCGCCAUUUAAAGUGGUACGCGAGCUGGGUUUAGAACGUCGUGAGACAGUUCGGUCCCUAUCUGCCGUGGGCGCUGGAGAAUUGAGGGGGGCUGCUCCUAGUACGAGAGGACCGGAGUGGACGCAUCACUGGUGUUCGGGUUGUCAUGCCAAUGGCACUGCCCGGUAGCUAAAUGCGGAAGAGAUAAGUGCUGAAAGCAUCUAAGCACGAAACUUGCCCCGAGAUGAGUUCUCCCUGAGACUUUAAGUCUCCUGAAGGAACGUUGAAGACGACGACGUUGAUAGGUCGGGUGUGUAAGCGCAGCGAUGCGUUGAGCUAACCGAUACUAAUGAACCGUGAGGCUUAACCUUACAACGCCGAAGGUGUUU